This 253-nucleotide ribosomal RNA is filed under the name uncultured bacterium. RNAcentral's name for it is "partial 16S ribosomal RNA". It matches the Rfam family "Bacterial small subunit ribosomal RNA", at positions 524 to 776 of the family's 1533-position model. The record is from RNAcentral.
UACGUAGGGGGCAAGCGUUGUCCGGAAUCACUGGGCGUAAAGCGCACGUAGGCGGCUUGUUAAGUCGGGGGUGAAAUCCUGGAGCUCAACUCCAGAACUGCCUUUGAUACUGGCGAGCUUGAGUUCGGGAGAGGUGAGUGGAACUGCGAGUGUAGAGGUGAAAUUCGUAGAUAUUCGCAAGAACACCAGUGGCGAAGGCGGCUCACUGGCCCGAUACUGACGCUGAGGUGCGAAAGCGUGGGGAGCAAACAGG